GAUCCUGGCUCAGGAUGAACGCUAGCUACAGGCUUAACACAUGCAAGUCGAGGGGCAUCAGGAAGAAAGCUUGCUUUCCUUGCUGGCGACCGGCGCACGGGUGAGUAACACGUAUCCAACCUGCCCUUUACUCGGGGAUAGCCCUUCGAAAGAAAGAUUAAUACCCGAUAGCAUAAUGAUUCCGCAUGGUUUCAUUAUUAAAGGAUUCCGGUAAAGGAUGGGGAUGCGUUCCAUUAGGUUGUUGGUGAGGUAACGG
Molecule: ribosomal RNA, 256 nt
Filed under: uncultured bacterium
Lineage: Bacteria
Description: partial 16S ribosomal RNA
Rfam family: Bacterial small subunit ribosomal RNA
Source: RNAcentral